CCUACGGGAGGCAGCAGUGAGGAAUAUUGGUCAAUGGGCGGAAGCCUGAACCAGCCAAGUCGCGUGAGGGACUAAGGCCCUACGGGUCGUAAACCUCUUUUGCCGGGGAUCAGUGCCCAGCUCGCGAGCUGGGAGGGAGCGUACCCGGAGAAAAAGCAUCGGCUAACUCCGUGCCAGCAGCCGCGGUAAUACAGAGGUCUCAAGCGUUGUUCGGAAUCACUGGGCGUAAAGCGUGCGUAGGCUGUUUCGUAAGUCGUGUGUGAAAGGCGCGGGCUCAACCCGCGGACGGCACAUGAUACUGCGAGACUAGAGUAAUGGAGGGGGAACCGGAAUUCUCGGUGUAGCGGUGAAAUGCAUAGAUAUCACGAGGAACCCCGAUUGCGAAGGCAGCCUGCCGGGGUGCGACUGACGCUGAGGCUCGAAGGUGCGGGUAUCAAACAGGAUUAGAUACCCGAGUAGUC
Molecule: ribosomal RNA, 461 nt
Filed under: uncultured bacterium
Lineage: Bacteria
Description: partial 16S ribosomal RNA
Rfam family: Bacterial small subunit ribosomal RNA
Source: RNAcentral